Long non-coding RNA from Gadus chalcogrammus (walleye pollock), 1205 nucleotides. RefSeq lists it as uncharacterized. The transcript is spliced from 3 exons. The record is from RefSeq and is a predicted model, not a curated record. Lineage: Eukaryota; Metazoa; Chordata; Actinopteri; Gadiformes; Gadidae.
AACACUAUUCACACAUGCAUAUGUUCAGGAAUUCUGUCUUGCGUUCGCUCACACAUGGCAUAGCAAUGCUAGCUCGGGAGCCAGAUGAAUCUCGCAUGUUUUGUUUGCUAAGAGUAACAGCUUAAGUUAAGAGUAAGCUAUUGCUAUUGUUUUAAAUUACAGGAUGGAUCUGAGAGGGAUUGCCGUUGCGAUGGGUUUCCUCUAUCUACAAGCAGAAGAGGAGGCUGCCCAACUGAGGAGGAUCAUCGUUGAGCGGAGAGCUAGAAUGCGGCGGGGGAUGCUAAGGAGACGAGCCAUCCUCAGUUGUCUCUGUCUCACGACCAAAGCAGCUGAACAUCACUGUGCCCAUCCUAGCCGUGUUUUUCUCUGGAGGGGACCUGAAGCCAGCCUUCAGGCUCUCCAGGGAGAGCUUCAACCGGCUGCUUGCCUUGCUGCCCCGGCAAAAAGUCCAUGAAUGGAGCAGCCAUGAGGUGGAGGUGCUGGUGGCAGUGUACUGGCUGGCCUGUGGAGCAUCGUACAGGGUAACGGCAGAUGCCUUCGGGAUGCCCCUGUCCACAGUUUGCAGGACGGUCCAUGGCGUGGUGGAGGAGAUGAUGGCCAUCCUCCACAGGGUGAUUCAUUUCCCCCAAGGCAGAGGAGAUGGAGGCGGUGGGGGCUGGCUUUGCUCGCCUUGCAGGUCACGAGGCCUUCAGAUGUGCUGCUGGGGCCAUUGAUGGAUGCCACAUGAAAGCUUUGCCACCUGCAGAGCAGAAGAAGAGCUACUUUAACCGGAAGCUCUUCACUUCCAUCAUCCUGCAGGGCAUCUGCGAUGGAAACGGUCCAUUUAUUGACGUGUACAUCGGGACCCCGGGGUCAGUGCAUGAUGCCCUCGUGCUCCGGCGUUCUCCCUUUUAUAGGCAGGCUCUGUACCCACCAGCUGGGUACUUCUUGCUGGGUGAUGGAGGGUACCCAUGCCUGCAGCGUCCUGUGGCCAUCAUGACGCCAUACCGCCACCCUGUAGCCGGUCAGGUUGAAGCUAUAGAUACAACAGGCACCACGCUAGAGGGCGUAACAUUGUGGAGAGGUCUUUCGGGAUCCUCAAAACCCGCUGGCGGGCCAUCUUCCUGCGGUAUCUGGAGAUCCGGUCUCUGUUUGCCCCCAAGGUGGUAGGAGCCUGCUGCAUCCUGCACAACAUUUGCAUGGCAGCAGGGGAUAUCUUGGAGGAG